AUGAAAAGUUCCCUAAGAAAACUAGUACAGAUGAAUCCAAAGGAGAAAUGCUUAUUGAUUGUAACCAUAUGGAUCAAGCAACCAAUAUGGGGGGUGGAACAUGUAUGUACUGAAAUCGUCCAAAAGAAUCCUUCAGAAAUCGUAGUACAUUGUCAUUGUAAACUUGGAAAAAGGUGUCACAAAUUGAAAUCCAUUAUGGUUAACAUUUAUAAGGAAAGUAACAUCACCUCGAUAUAUAGCUUCUCCAGGCAUGGAAAGCAUCUCAGGAAACUGACAACUUGCCCCAGGUUGGGGCCGAUAGAUUCUAGUGCCAAGACCUUCACUGUGCGCAGUUUCGGGGUCAAGCUUGUCGGAAUCAUUUUCUGA
Molecule: ribosomal RNA, 366 nt
Filed under: Triticum aestivum (bread wheat)
Lineage: Eukaryota; Viridiplantae; Streptophyta; Magnoliopsida; Poales; Poaceae
Description: partial small subunit ribosomal RNA
Source: RNAcentral